AGGACGAACGCUGGCGGCGUGCCUAACACAUGCAAGUCGAGCGGAAAGGCCUCCUUCGGGAGGUACUCGAGCGGCGAACGGGUGAGUAACACGUGGGCAACCAACCCCUCACAUCGGGAUACCCCGGGGAAACUCGGAUCAAUACCGGAUAAUGCGCGACGCUGUUGGGCGUCGCACCAAAGGUAGCUUCGGCCUCUGGUGAGGGACGGGCCCGCGGCCCAUUAGCUUGUUGGUGGGGUAAUGGCCUACCAAGGCAACGAUGGGUAGCUGGUCUGAGAGGAUGAUCAGCCACACUGGGACUGAGAUACGGCCCAGACUCCUACGGGAGGCAGCAGUGGGGAAUAUUGCGCAAUGGGCGGAAGCCUGACGCAGCAACGCCGCGUGCGGGAGAAGGCCUUCGGGUCGUAAACCGCUUUCAGGGGGGACGAAGCCACCAGGGUUAAUAGGCCCAUGGGGUGACGGUACUCCCGAGAAGAAGCCCCGGCUAACUACGUGCCAGCAGCCGCGGU
Molecule: ribosomal RNA, 509 nt
Filed under: uncultured bacterium
Lineage: Bacteria
Description: SSU rRNA
Rfam family: Bacterial small subunit ribosomal RNA
Source: RNAcentral